UGGUGGAGUGAUUUGUCUGGUUAAUUCCGAUAACGAACGAGACCUUAACCUGCUAACUAGUCUGAUUCAUUACAUGGAUUUUGACUUCUUAGAGGGACUAUGUGUUACAAGCACAUGGAAGUUUGAGGCAAUAACA
Molecule: ribosomal RNA, 136 nt
Filed under: uncultured eukaryote
Lineage: Eukaryota
Description: partial 18S ribosomal RNA
Rfam family: Eukaryotic small subunit ribosomal RNA
Source: RNAcentral